UGAUUACUUUGGGGUAAUACCACUAAUUAAGUGGAGCAACCAACAGAAAGAAAUCUAGUUAUAUAAUUUCAGAGACCAUGCUCGAAUCAUUUCCUCCUUAGAGCUUUUGAAAUUCACUUUAAUGCCUAGGAAUCCAGAAGAUCCUGAAAUUCAUUAUUACCCAUACACAAACUUGUUUUGAGACCUUUUUAUUUCUUUGACAUUUGGAAGAUUCUUCAGAUACACACGACAUCUAUUAGACAGCAUCCAUCCAAGUCCCAAUUUUUACUAAAAAUGUUAACUGAAAAACUAGCUUCAAGAUAUUUUACUGGCAUGAGCCAAAAAAAAAAAGAAAGAA
RNAcentral lists this unclassified non-coding RNA (337 nucleotides) under Hevea brasiliensis (rubber tree). Lineage: Eukaryota; Viridiplantae; Streptophyta; Magnoliopsida; Malpighiales; Euphorbiaceae. The record is from RNAcentral.